Long non-coding RNA from Strigops habroptila (Kakapo), 1550 nucleotides. RefSeq lists it as uncharacterized. NCBI's taxonomy places the organism in Eukaryota, Metazoa, Chordata, Aves, Psittaciformes, Psittacidae. The record is from RefSeq and is a predicted model, not a curated record. The transcript is spliced from 4 exons.
CAGUAAAAAAAUACUAUAAUAAAUCGGUAACAUAUGUUGCCAGACAAGAAUAAGUGAUAUAAAUAAAGAGUCAAGAGACAUAGCCCCUCAAGAACAAUGUGUAAAGAUUUAAACUUUCAAUGUAUUAGUUAAGCUAGGAACAUUUUAGAAGUAACUUGAAAGCGGUGUACUGUUUGUUUAUAUCAUUCCUUCUCUUUUUUAUUUUUUUUCUUUUUUUCUUUUUUCUUCUCUUCAGAUUGCAUUUUAAAUCAAAAUGUUCUCCAUGACUGACUGCUUUGCAGCACUAGGCUAGGAUAGAGGAAUGAGUCUUCCUCUAACAACACAGCAUGGUGCAUGCGCGAUCCUCAAGCAUCCCCAGACCGACGGCACGGCAGCCACUGGGCCUGCAGGUUAAUACAUGUAAAGUAACCUGUGUAUCUCCAAGACAGUAUCGGGGUUGUUUCCUGAAGAAGCCUAUAGGUAAAGAGACAUUCAUACAUUCACACGGGAGGAUUCAUAAAGGCAGGAUGAGAAUAUAAAGGUAUUAUUUUGACAUGACAAGCCCUGCUUGGAAAAUGUCUUCGACUCAUCCAAAGUUGUUGCCACUUUUGCUGCCUUUGCUUUGAAGAAGUCAAGUAAUUCUCUGGCCCCUUUGAAAUAUGUCUCAUCUGCACCGAAUUUCUGCCAACCAACCAACCCAUAGAUACGGACAUAAGAAAAAUUUAUUAUCAUCGAGUCAGGUUUUCUUUUUACUUAAUCUGAGGCAAUUAGUACCUGAAUAAACACAGACUAAGUAAUCUACCUCCUCAAAAGGUAAUUAGACUUGAAAAGCACUGUUCAGCUCUACCCAAGGAAAGCACAGCUCUGAUUAAAACACUUUGGAGAUUCGCUUUCAUCCCUAUUGCCUUUUGCCCCGGAAAACCUUUUAUAAAAUCCCUAUAACUUUUAAUUUUUCCCCAUACCAAACCUGAGGGCCACUCUUGGCCAUUGCUGCCCUCUUCCACCUCCUCAAAUCUUUAACCCCGCUUCUCAUUUUUCUUUGCCUCUAAUCUAAUCGCUAAUUCCUUGGCUUGGCCAAAUAGUUAAAAAUGUUAAGUGCUGCUUGCAAUUCCUGCUGCCUCCCCCUCGUAUCUGUCUCUGUUUAUGGAAUGGGCCCUGGUUUCCUCCUGCUCUUGUUCAGCUGUAGGUCUGCAGGUCAGGAGACUGUAAAUACACACAGAGCUGCCCCAACCCAUAAAUCUGAGCAAAGGGCAGCCUUAUAUAUUCAGAUAAGGGAUGCAAGGCAGGGGGUGGAGGGGGAUGGAAGAAAAGAAAUGGAAGAGAACAGGCAGACUCUGUGGUGAAGGAGGCACUUCGCUAGUGACAAAACCUGAGGUGCCAGCAGGCACUGGGGGUAAGCUCUGCAGGACAGAGAAAGGAAAGCUCUGCUACCUUGCAGGAUGUGCCUGUGAGAGAUGAAUCUGAAAUGUCUGCCCUUCUCCCACUCCUCCUUGUUUAUAUAUAAAUCAUUACAAAAUGCAUUUUAUUACUUUUGGGGCAACGAAAUUAAACAAGAGAUUUUCGAUGGCUUU